UUUUAGCAGGGAAGAAGCGAAAGUGACGGUACCUGCAGAAAAAGCGCCGGCUAACUACGUGCCAGCAGCCGCGGUAAUACGUAGGGCGCAAGCGUUAUCCGGAAUUAUUGGGCGUAAAGAGCUCGUAGGCGGUUUGUCGCGUCUGCUGUGAAAACCCGAGGCUCAACCUCGGGCCUGCAGUGGGUACGGGCAGACUAGAGUGCGGUAGGGGAGAUUGGAAUUCCUGGUGUAGCGGUGGAAUGCGCAGAUAUCAGGAGGAACACCGAUGGCGAAGGCAGAUCUCUGGGCCGUAACUGACGCUGAGGAGCGAAAGGGUGGGGAGCAAACAGGCUUAGAUACCCUGGUAGUCCACCCCGUAAACGUUGGGAACUAGUUGUGGGGUCCAUUCCACGGAUUCCGUGACGCAGCUAACGCAUUAAGUUCCCCGCCUGGGGAGUACGGCCGCAAGGCUAAAACUCAAAGGAAUUGACGGGGACCCGCACAAGCGGCGGAGCAUGCGGAUUAAUUCGAUGCAACGCGAAGAACCUUACCAAGGCUUGACAUAUACGAGAACGGGCCAGAAAUGGUCAACUCUUUGGACACUCGUAAACAGGUGGUGCAUGGUUGUCGUCAGCUCGUGUCGUGAGAUGUUGGGUUAAGUCCCGCAACGAGCGCAACCCUCGUUCUAUGUUGCCAGCACGUAAUGGUGGGAACUCAUGGGAUACUGCCGGGGUCAACUCGGAGGAAGGUGGGGAUGACGUCAAAUCAUCAUGCCCCUUAUGUCUUGGGCUUCACGCAUGCUACAAUGGCCGGUACAAAGGGCUGCAAUACCGCAAGGUGGAGCGAAUCCCAAAAAGCCGGUCCCAGUUCGGAUUGAGGUCUGCAACUCGACCUCAUGAAGUCGGAGUCGCUAGUAAUCGCAGAUCAGCAACGCUGCGGUGAAUACGUUCCCGGGUCUUGUACACACCGCCCGUCAAGUCAUGAAAGUCGGUAACACCUGAAGCCGGU
This 987-nucleotide ribosomal RNA is filed under the name Microbacterium sp. RNAcentral describes it as "bacterial SSU rRNA". It matches the Rfam family "Bacterial small subunit ribosomal RNA", at positions 434 to 1431 of the family's 1533-position model. The record is from RNAcentral. Lineage: Bacteria; Bacillati; Actinomycetota; Actinomycetes; Micrococcales; Microbacteriaceae.